Molecule: long non-coding RNA, 1729 nt
Organism: Populus nigra (black poplar)
Lineage: Eukaryota; Viridiplantae; Streptophyta; Magnoliopsida; Malpighiales; Salicaceae
Exons: 2
Source: RefSeq, a predicted model, not a curated record
CACACGCAUUCCACAGAGGCUUGCUCUGGGAUAUUUGUCAACCAUCCUUGCCAAUCAAAUUAGUGAUUCUCAGGUGAAUUUGGGCUUAGAAAAACGAUAAAAAUCACAGGAUUGAUGCCAAAAAAAAAAAUCUUGUGAAGAAACUGGCUCAAGAACAAAAAUGGCUUGUCAACAGAAAUAAUAUGAUGUAUGCUUCAUUUGCUAAAAAAAUGGAGUCCAGAGACCCAAUAUGUACAAACUACAAUCCCAUACAAAGCAUUGCUGCUUUUGUAUAAUUUCCAAAAAGAGGAACCCAGAAACACUGACGGCAAUGCGAUUCACCUUUUGAUUGAUGGGUUCAGGUAAGGCAAAAUCUAAAACUAUAUCCUGUGUAAUGGUAAUUUCUCCUUAUUGGAUGCAACAGUGCAAUCUGCUAUUUGUAAAAAUAAAAUGGCAAUCACAGCUGCCUGAUUGAGCUAAAUAAUGAAUCAAUCUGACCAAAUAUAGUGAGUAUGAAGCGAGCAAGAGAUGUACGAAACCAGUUGGAGGGCCUUUCGGAGAUGGUUGAAAUUGAGCUAUCGUCCAACCCCAAUGGUUUAGAUGCGAUAAAGAAGUCCAUAGCAUCUGGGUUUUUCCCCAUUCAGCUAGGCUACAGAAGAAUGGAUCCUACAGAACUGUGAAACAUCCCACAGACGGUUCACUUUCACCCCAGCUCAAGGUUGUUGUGGGUGCUUCCAACAUGGGUUAUAUACCACGAGCUGGUUCUUACUUCCAAGGAGUCAUGAGGCAAGUAAAGGAACUAAAGCCAGACUGGCUGGUAGAAAUAGCUCCCCAUUAUUACCAGAUGAAGGAUGUUGAAGAUCCUGGGUCGAGGAAAAUGCCAAGAGGGCUAGGACUAGCAUGAUAGCAGCUGGGUUCAUGUGUUUAUUUCUUUCCUCAAGAAGUCUUACGCCUAGACAAGGAAGACAAUAUUGAGGAAGUGCUAUUCUCCUCGCUCAUGGAUGGAACUGUUGCUGCUGCUGCUGCUGUUCCAUCUUCCGUAGAUAGAAGCACAAGAGCUAGCAUGGACCCUCUUGCCUUGAGAGCAUGGGAAGUGGUAAUAGUUGGUUGAUAAUAUUUAAAUAAAGUAUGUAUACAGUGCUGGUGUUACAUAUUUCCUGCAUACAGAUCUCAAUCUCUCUUUUUUCUAAAUGGAUUUUGCAUAAAAUCAGCAGAUGAGGCAGGUAGGUCUCUUUAGAUGCUACACUGCUAACACCAUUGCAGUGCAAAAGCAUUACGGGAGCAGUUCAUAGCAGAGCAUUUUGGCUAUCAUUUGCCUUCAAUGUUUUCUUCAGGAGGCUCAGGAGUUGAUAAAAGGGAGGUCAUCUUUUCACUGGAGAAUUGCGGAAAAUACAGGGACGGCAACAGGGGUCGCUGUGGGGCCGGCGGGUGCUGUAGGAGGGAUAGUUGGUAUAGUUUUGGCAGCGGCUGCCACAGGAAUGAGGCGAUUCGUGGGUGGUAACAGCCAUAGAUUCAUAGUUGUAUUUCACCGGAUACGUCAGGGUAUGGUGCCCAAUUUCAUGGAUGCUUGGUGAUCCGUCAUGCUUUCUUUUGCUGUCUUCGUUCUUGAUGCUAGGCUCUGGAUGGUUGACGUAUUCAUGCAGCAGGAAACUGCUUGCAUAUUCAAGGGUACAAUAUAAAUCUAAUAAUUUUGUCUAGACUAUAGUUUUAACAUUCAAAUUUAGCCAAAUUACAUAGUGCAUUGAUCAAA